AUGACCAAUGAACUCUUCUACUUCCUCUUCUUUUGCCUCUUAUGUCUUCAUCUGCCUUCAAGAAAUUCAGGAUGCAAUGUGGCCCAGAAAGUCACUCAGGUCCAGUCAACUGCAAGCAGUCAGUAUGGAGAAGUCACCCUGGACUGUUCAUAUGAGACAAGUUAUUACUAUUACCAAUUCAUUUGGUAUAAGCAGCUUGUUACUGGAGAGAUGAUUUUCCUUAUUAGCCAACUUUCUUCUUCUACUGAGAAUGAGAGGAAUGGCCGCUAUUUUGUCACAUGGCAGAAAUCAGCCAACUCCAUCAGCCUUGUCAUUUCAGCCUCACAGCUAGAAGAUUCAGGGACAUAUUUCUGUGCGCUCCGAGAAUUGACCCACAGUGUUUGAAGUGACAGCAGAAGCUGAACAAAAACUGGAGCUCCUUAAGAGUUGCCCACCGCAGGAGCCCAGCUGAGAAGCA
This is a non-coding RNA of Meriones unguiculatus (Mongolian gerbil), 457 nucleotides long. Lineage: Eukaryota; Metazoa; Chordata; Mammalia; Rodentia; Muridae. The record is from the annotation of a RefSeq genome assembly.